This 301-nucleotide ribosomal RNA is filed under the name uncultured bacterium. RNAcentral's name for it is "partial 16S ribosomal RNA". It matches the Rfam family "Bacterial small subunit ribosomal RNA", at positions 509 to 807 of the family's 1533-position model. The record is from RNAcentral.
CAGUCGCCACGGUAACACGGAGGGUGCAAGCGUUAAUCGGAAUUACUAGGCGUAAAGCGCACGCAGGCGGUCUGACAAGUCAGAUGUGAAAUCCCCGGGCUUAACCUGGGAACUGCAUUUGAAACUGUCAGGCUGGAGUCUUGUAGAGGGGGGUGGAAUUCCAGGUGUAGCGGUGAAAUGCGUAGAGAUCUGGAGGAAUACCGGUGGCGAAGGCGGCCCCCUGGACAAAGACUGACGCUCAGGUGCGAAAGCGUGGGGAGCAAACAGGAUUAGAUACCCGGGUAGUCCCUGUCUCUUAUAC